AUAUGAACCUUGCCCAAUCUCCUCCCCCAGCUGUAGGUCUUCCCAUUGAAUCUCACAAUCUACCACAGAAUUUGACUCUUUAUCCCCUCUGCUUGGUGAACUUCCUACUCUGCCAGAGCUCUCCCCUGCACUUGGAAAUCGCGUCCCAUCUGGCUGUCCUCGUGCUUUGUCUUCUGUCUCUGCAGUUUCCAAGUUUGGUGUUUCAGGCUCCAACUCAUUCUCAUCCUCUUGGCAACCUAAUCUG
This 244-nucleotide unclassified non-coding RNA is filed under the name Hevea brasiliensis (rubber tree). Lineage: Eukaryota; Viridiplantae; Streptophyta; Magnoliopsida; Malpighiales; Euphorbiaceae. The record is from RNAcentral.